Molecule: non-coding RNA, 1129 nt
Organism: Rattus norvegicus (Norway rat)
Lineage: Eukaryota; Metazoa; Chordata; Mammalia; Rodentia; Muridae
Source: RefSeq, a predicted model, not a curated record
CCGCGCGCGAUCCGCGCCCCCUCCCUGCACCCAAGCGCGCGGCCACGAUGAAGCAGUAACUGGGGCCAGGGAGCGCGCGGAGCGCUCUGGGUCCCAACCAAGGCCUCCCGCCACACCCCUACCCCAACCCAGCUUCGCCAAGCUCUCCAAGACCCUCCCUUGGUCAGGAGGCACCGGGACCAAGGAAAAAAAGAGGCGGGAAAGGCAAUGUGGAAAGUUCCUUUGGGCUUCCCAGAGCUGGGAUUUAUUCAUCGCCUUGGACUAACUUAUUCAAGAUCAUACAGGAACGCAGCCCAAAACUGGGGAUAAGACUUUGGUGUUUGGGUACCUUAAAAUGUUCUCUUCAUUGCUCCCUAGAAAUUUUUCCGGAAGGGAAAUUGUGAUGGUCCUGUGACCUCAAAGCUGAGGGCACUCAUGACUGACUUGAGCCAAGCCAUAGUUGCAGAGGCCUAGGUCUAGUAGAUGGCCUUCCACUCCACCAUCUCUUUGUGGCCUCAGACAAUGCCCUUAAAGGUGGGGAACAAAAACAGCAGCUGGAGGAAGGCACGAGUGGACCACGUGGGUACUCUAGGGUCACCCUCUCUGGUGAGGUUUACAACUGCAAAGAUGUCCUGAUACACCCUGUCUCGUGCUUGCUGGAGAGCAGAGACCUUAUCAGUGAUUCAUGGGUUCCUUCAUUUCAAAGAUGAGGAAACUGAUACUAUUCAGAGGCAAAGUGACCCCAGAACUGAGCUGGAAGUCUUCCUUUCAUCUCUCCCUUUAGGAACUGAUGCCAAAAGCAGAAGGAACUUCUUUUCCAGCCUCCUGCCACUCACCUAUCUCCUGAUCACCUGGGGCAUAGGCCGUCCAGCUAUCCUUUCAGUCCUCUUCGAUUCGUACUUCCAGGACCCAUAUAGCUGGGAAUUGCAGCAUACAUCUUCCGUAAACAGAUCCCAGGAGCAGCCUUCAUUGUCUCUAGUUGGGUCUCAUCACAUACUCAUGGCUUGCCUGGAACUCCCUGUAUUGUAAAGCAAGUUAUCCUUGGACUCAGAGAUCUGCCUGCCUCUGUCUACUACCCAAGCGCUGUGAUCAAAGGCACGUACCAACAUGUGUGACGGAAUCCUCUGUGACAGGAAACCUAUAGUGCUAA